AAAUGCCAAAGUUUCCAUUGGAAAACCUGCACGUGUCGGGGACCACCAAACAAUUCUUGCAAACCCAGACCAUCUGCGUCCAGGGUCGGGUGAUGGGGAGGAACUGCGAGGAUUAGUUGCCGUUGAAGGGGGCUCCGCCAAUGAAAUCUUCUCUGCGCUCUGAUUUGGCGGUUCUUCGGUGCAAAUAUGACAGCUUUCUCUCUCAGCUCUUUUCUGCAUCUCUCCAUGUCCGACCCCGGAGCUCAGUUCUCGGUCUGCAAUUUCUACACCACAACCUUUGCAAUCACCACCACCACCACCACCACCACCCCUAGGUCCCAUGUCAGCAGGUGCCAGGUUGCUACAAAGGUGACAGGGCACAUUGGGAAGAAGGCUUGUUGAUUGCAGAAGAUACUUAUGCCCCGUAUUUCCAGGUGGGGAAAUGUUAGAAUAAAUGCAAUGUACUUUGUACUAAAUAUAUAGUCAUGGAGAAUUGUUCAGAUUGUUUAUUCCUUUCUUUGAUGCUAACUAAUGUAUUAGAAAGACACAGAAAUUUAUCUGUCUUUGCUGUUUUGUUUUUUCUUCUUCCCACACAGGUCAACGCCUGUGUGUUCCAUCAGUUAAUGGGGAGUAGUAGUUAAGAGAGUAUACUAGUGAGGCUUUGGUGAGACGGGAUUUUGCUGUCUAUCGAGGAAAAUAAAAGAUGUGAACUUCC
This 694-nucleotide long non-coding RNA is filed under the name Mus caroli (Ryukyu mouse). RNAcentral describes it as "RIKEN cDNA 9330158H04 gene (MGP_CAROLIEiJ_G0006322.1)". Lineage: Eukaryota; Metazoa; Chordata; Mammalia; Rodentia; Muridae. The record is from RNAcentral.